AACCUAUAACAUUUAGUGAAAACUUCAAAUUUACCACCUAAAAUUUAUUAAUAUCAAUCAUACCAACUAAUGAUUUAAUUUUCUCAAUUGAACCUUUCCGUCAACUAUGGUCAACAAAACCGUUAAAAAAACACGCGAGAUUAAUAUGAGCAGCAUCUGUUUAGAAAUUUGGAGGGAAAUUUCUCCUUUUCCCCCUCCUACGCGUUUCUCAAGCAUACAAGAUGGAUAAAAAGUCCCAAUUAAACGACACCACCCGCUGCCCCAAUUUUUGUUCUAGAACCGAUCAAUCGAAGAACACAGUAACCCUAAUCUCACAAUUUCUUCAAUAAUAAUUCAGAGAUGGAAAGCAUGGAGAUGGGUGAUGAUGUUCAUGUGGUCUGCCACUGUGGCGAACAAGCUCGAACAAGAACUAGCUGAAGUUUAUGUAAUCCGGGCGGGAGGUUCAUGGGCUGUCCAGAAUUCGAGGUCGCAUCGUAUUUUUCUUCUUCUAGAAUUUUCGUCUGCAGAGGUAGUCAUUGUUUGAUGAAAAUGAAAGAUCCGGAAGCAGCUGGAUGUGGUUUCUUUCAAUCCACCAGCAUGCCUUCGUGGAAGAGAGGUCACGAUCAGGCUGAUGCCUGACUAUCGAUCAUACCAGAAAACGACUGCUCUGCCCAUGUACAUGCAAGAGAGAAGAAGUUUAAGAUCUGUCUCCUUCAGUCAUGGGUUUUCUCUUCCGUGUUAAAGAAUACUAAUCCUUUGUAAAUGAAUACCGGGUUAAAGAAAAGGAAAAAUCACAUAGAUAAUCCUUGCCACUCCUAGCCUACCUUAUCUUCCAAUUUCCUCCACCAUUCAUGCUCCAUCAUCACCAUGAAUAGUAAUCCUUCCACCUCUCCACCACCAUGUAGCUGCAACAAUUAUCCAACCAACCCUGUCAAAAAUCUACUUAGGCAUGUUUGUGGACAUGUAUUUUAGAAUUUAGAUUGUGAGCUGGGACGAGAAAAUAAAAAAUUCUAAAGCGAUAAAAAGGAGGGAAAGUCUGAAAUUAAUGCUUCUUAAUCGAUAUUUUAGGAGGAGAGGCUCACCACCACUACAUUCGCUGCUUUCCCCGGUCUUGCUUCUUUACUUUUAAAAUCAAUGAAUAAUAUUAUCUCGGAGGGUAAUAUUCUUUUUGCCAAGGUUACCUGCCUCAUGACAUUUAGGUUUUAGCUGUUAGCUGGGUUCUUGUAGCUCUAAUUCUUAGUGUAAUUUGGUUGGUUCUAUUUACAAAAUAAUUG
This 1253-nucleotide long non-coding RNA is filed under the name Populus tremula. RNAcentral's name for it is "long non-coding RNA (PTRE_LNC002746)". The record is from RNAcentral. Lineage: Eukaryota; Viridiplantae; Streptophyta; Magnoliopsida; Malpighiales; Salicaceae.